ACCCCAGACUCCUACGGGAGGCAGCAGUGGGGAAUAUUGGGCAAUGGGCGCAAGCCUGACCCAGCAACGCCGCGUGAAGGAAGAAGGCUUUCGGGUUGUAAACUUCUUUUAAGAGGGAAGAGUAGAAGACGGUACCUCUUGAAUAAGCCACGGCUAACUACGUGCCAGCAGCCGCGGUAAUACGUAGGUGGCAAGCGUUGUCCGGAUUUACUGGGUGUAAAGGGCGUGUAGCCGGGCCGGCAAGUCAGAUGUGAAAUCCCAAGGCUCAACCUUGGAACUGCAUUUGAAACUGUCGUUCUUGAGUACUGGAGAGGUUGACGGAAUUCCUAGUGUAGCGGCGAAAUGCGUAGAUAUUAGGAGGAACACCAGUGGCGAAGGCGGUCAACUGGACAGCAACUGACGCUGAGGCGCGAAAGCGUGGGGAGCAAACAGGAUUAGAUACCCCGGUA
RNAcentral lists this ribosomal RNA (449 nucleotides) under uncultured bacterium. RNAcentral describes it as "partial 16S ribosomal RNA". It matches the Rfam family "Bacterial small subunit ribosomal RNA", at positions 328 to 792 of the family's 1533-position model. The record is from RNAcentral.